This 397-nucleotide ribosomal RNA is filed under the name uncultured bacterium. RNAcentral describes it as "partial 16S ribosomal RNA". It matches the Rfam family "Bacterial small subunit ribosomal RNA", at positions 523 to 918 of the family's 1533-position model. The record is from RNAcentral.
AUACGUAGGUGGCAAGCGUUGUCCGGAAUUAUUGGGCGUAAAGCGCGCGCAGGUGGUUCCUUAAGUCUGAUGUGAAAGCCCCCGGCUCAACCGGGGAGGGUCAUUGGAAACUGGGGAACUUGAGUGCAGAAGGGGAUAGUGGAAUUCCAAGUGUAGCGGUGAAAUGCGUAGAGAUUUGGAGGAACACCAGUGGCGAAGGCGACUGUCUGGGCUGUAACUGACACUGAGGCGCGAAAGCGUGGGGAGCAACCAGGAUUAGAUACCCUGGUAGUCCACGCCGUAAACGAUGAGUGCUAAGUGUUGGGGGGUUUCCGCCCCUCAGUGCUGCAGCUAACGCAUUAAGCACUCCGCCUGGGGAGUACGGUCGCAAGACUGAAACUCAAAUGAAUUGGCGGGG